CAAUUCAUAGGUUUUUAGUAUACUCAGAGCUGUGCAACCACCACAACUGGUCAACUGAUUUCCCUUUCUUUAGAAUAAUAAAAUGAGGAUAAUAGACAGAACGCUGGUAAGGUCAGCAAAUAAAAAGACUAUGGGGCAUAGAGAAGGAAGAUCCUGCCAGAAGGGGAGCUGGACUUUGUACUGACUUCCUAACUCUGUGCAGGAUAUUAGCUAUAAUUACAUAAAUAACAUUUUAAAGGAAAUUUUGUGCAUGUCAAACUGUGGAAAGCUAGCCAUGGUGAAGGAAGUUCCCUAUGCUAAACUCAAGAUGAAACUUGGACAGUAUUUUUUUUCAGAUGGAAAAGGAUAGCUUUUUCCAAAACUGUAGAUUCUCUGAUACGACGGUAACAAUUGACAAAUGGAUAUACUCUUAAAGCUUAGCUGAGAUGCUGAAUAUGGAAUCAACACACUAAAUUUUUUCAUACUCUGUUAUAUUAAAAUGCUCUGAUCUUGAUUUUUUCAUUGUGUUAGUUUUAGGGGUACAACAUAAUGAUUUGAUAUAUGUAUUGAUUGCAAAAUGAUUACCACAAGUUUGAUUAACAUCAUCACCACCCAUAAUUACAAACUUUGUGUGUAUGUGUGAUGAACUGCUAAGAUCUACUUCUGGCAUCUUUGAAAUAUAUAAUACGGCAUUGUAAACUACAGUCACUAUGCUGUACAUUGUAUCUCCUGGACUUACUUCUCUUAUAAUUGGAAGUUUGUCCUUUUUGACUAUCUUCACCAAUUUUGCGUACCUUCCCCACACCCUAUCCCCAGCAAGCAUCCAUCUGUUUUCUGUAUCUAUGAAUUUUAAGAUUCCUCAUAUAAAUGAUAUCUUACAGUAUUUGUCAUUCUCUGCAUGACUUAUUUCACUUAGCAUAAUGCCCUUACAGUCCAUCUAUGUUGCCAUAAAUAUUUUCUCUACCCAUUCAUACAUUGAUGUGUACAGUCAGGUUGUUUCCAUGUCUUGGCCAUUGUAGAUAUGUUGCAAUGAACAUGAGGAUGCUAUAUAUUUU
Non-coding RNA from Sus scrofa (pig), 1034 nucleotides. The record is from RefSeq and is a predicted model, not a curated record. Lineage: Eukaryota; Metazoa; Chordata; Mammalia; Artiodactyla; Suidae.